AUCCCUCCGUAGGGUAACCUGCGGAGGGAUCAUUACACAAAUAUGAAGGCGGGCUGGAACCUCUCGGGGUUACAGCCUUGCUGAAUUAUUCACCCUUGUCUUUUGCGUACUUCUUGUUUCCUUGGUGGGUUCGCCCACCACUAGGACAAACAUAAACCUUUUGUAAUUGCAAUCAGCGUCAGUAACAAAUUAAUAAUUACAACUUUCAACAACGGAUCUCUUGGUUCUGGCAUCGAUGAAGAACGCAGCGAAAUGCGAUAAGUAGUGUGAAUUGCAGAAUUCAGUGAAUCAUCGAAUCUUUGAACGCACAUUGCGCCCUUUGGUAUUCCAAAGGGCAUGCCUGUUCGAGCGUCAUUUGUACCCUCAAGCUUUGCUUGGUGUUGGGCGUCUUGUCUCUAGCUUUGCUGGAGACUCGCCUUAAAGUAAUUGGCAGCCGGCCUACUGGUUUCGGAGCGCAGCACAAGUCGCACUCUCUAUCAGCAAAGGUCUAGCAUCCAUUAAGCCUUUUUUUCAACUUUUGACCUCGGAUCAGGUAGGGAUACCCGCUGAACUUAAGCAUAUCAAUAAGCGGAGGAA
RNAcentral lists this ribosomal RNA (576 nucleotides) under Alternaria tenuissima. RNAcentral describes it as "eukaryotic LSU rRNA". The stretch from base 201 to 354 matches the Rfam family "5.8S ribosomal RNA". The record is from RNAcentral. Lineage: Eukaryota; Fungi; Ascomycota; Dothideomycetes; Pleosporales; Pleosporaceae.